This 254-nucleotide ribosomal RNA is filed under the name uncultured bacterium. RNAcentral describes it as "partial 16S ribosomal RNA". It matches the Rfam family "Bacterial small subunit ribosomal RNA", at positions 524 to 776 of the family's 1533-position model. The record is from RNAcentral.
UACGAAGGGGGCUAGCGUUGCUCGGAAUCACUGGGCGUAAAGGGUGCGUAGGCGGGUCUUUUAAGUCAGGGGUGAAAUCCUGGAGCUCAACUCCAGAACUGCCUUUGAUACUGAGGAUCUUGAGUUCGGGAGAGGUGAGUGGAACUGCGAGUGUAGAGGUGAAAUUCGUAGAUAUUGGGAAGAACACCGGUGGCGAAGGCGGCGACCUGGUCCGAGACUGACGCUGAGGCGCGAAAGCGUGGGGAGCAAACAGG